RNAcentral lists this ribosomal RNA (253 nucleotides) under uncultured bacterium. RNAcentral's name for it is "partial 16S ribosomal RNA". It matches the Rfam family "Bacterial small subunit ribosomal RNA", at positions 524 to 776 of the family's 1533-position model. The record is from RNAcentral.
UACGUAGGGGGCAAGCGUUAUCCGGAUUUACUGGGUGUAAAGGGAGCGCAGACGGCAGUGCAAGUCUGGAGUGAAAGCCCGGGGCCCAACCCCGGAACUGCUCUGGAAACUGUGCGGCUAGAGUACUGGAGGGGCAGGCGGAAUUCCUAGUGUAGCGGUGAAAUGCGUAGAUAUUAGGAGGAACACCAGUGGCGAAGGCGGCCUGCUGGACAGUAACUGACGUUGAGGCUCGAAAGCGUGGAGAGCAAACAGG